GAUGAACGCUGGCGGCGUGCCUAAUACAUGCAAGUCGAGCGAACGGACGAGAAGCUUGCUUCUCUGAUGUUAGCGGCGGACGGGUGAGUAACACGUGGAUAACCUACCUAUAAGACUGGGAUAACUUCGGGAAACCGGAGCUAAUACCGGAUAAUAUUUUGAACCGCAUGGUUCAAAAGUGAAAGACGGUCUUGCUGUCACUUAUAGAUGGAUCCGCGCUGCAUUAGCUAGUUGGUAAGGUAACGGCCCACCAAGGCGAUGAUCAGUAGCCGGUCUGAGAGGAUGAACGGCCACAUUGGGACUGAGACACGGCCCAGACUCCUACGGGAGGCAGCAGUGGGGAAUCUUCCGCAAUGGACGAAAGUCUGACGGAGCAACGCCGCGUGAGUGAUGACGGCCUUCGGGUUGUAAAGCUCUGUUAAUCGGGACGAAAGGCCUUCUUGCGAAUAGUGAGAAGGAUUGACGGUACCGGAAUAGAAAGCCACGGCUAACUACGUG
This 498-nucleotide ribosomal RNA is filed under the name uncultured bacterium. RNAcentral describes it as "partial 16S ribosomal RNA". It matches the Rfam family "Bacterial small subunit ribosomal RNA", at positions 28 to 507 of the family's 1533-position model. The record is from RNAcentral.